AACCCUAAUCAAGUGUAGUAUCUGUUCUUAUCAGUUUAUUAUCUAAUACAUCCCCCGUCGAGGGAUGACUUAUUAAAUGGAUUUUUCAAAUAGGGAGUGGGAAAUGGGAGUUGCUCCCCGCAUAUUUAUGUAAUUAACCUUUUAUUUAACUAGGCAAGUCAGUUAAGAACAA
Molecule: small nuclear RNA, 172 nt
Filed under: Hucho hucho (huchen)
Lineage: Eukaryota; Metazoa; Chordata; Actinopteri; Salmoniformes; Salmonidae
Description: U2 spliceosomal RNA (ENSHHUG00000027772.1)
Rfam family: U2 spliceosomal RNA
About the family: U2 is a small nuclear RNA (snRNA) component of the spliceosome (involved in pre-mRNA splicing). Complementary binding between U2 snRNA (in an area lying towards the 5' end but 3' to hairpin I) and the branchpoint sequence (BPS) of the intron results the bulging out of an unpaired adenosine, on the BPS, which initiates a nucleophilic attack at the intronic 5' splice site, thus starting the first of two transesterification reactions that mediate splicing.
Source: RNAcentral